Molecule: ribosomal RNA, 506 nt
Filed under: uncultured bacterium
Lineage: Bacteria
Description: partial 16S ribosomal RNA
Rfam family: Bacterial small subunit ribosomal RNA
Source: RNAcentral
AUUGAACGCUGGCGGCAGGCCUAACACAUGCAAGUCGAACGGUAACAGGAAACAGCUUGCUGUUUCGCUGACGAGUGGCGGACGGGUGAGUAAUGUCUGGGAAACUGUCUGAUGGAGGGGGAUAACUACUGGAAACGGUAGCUAAUACCGCAUAACGUCGCAAGACCAAAGAGGGGGACCUUCGGGCCUCUUGCCAUCGGAUGUGCCCAGAUGGGAUUAGCUAGUAGGUGGGGUAACGGCUCACCUAGGCGACGAUCCCUAGCUGGUCUGAGAGGAUGACCAGACACACUGGAACGGAGACACGGUCCAGACUCCUACGGGAGGCAGCAGUGGGGAAUAUUGCACAAUGGGCGCAAGCCUGAUGCAGCCAUGUCGCGUGUAUGAAGAAGGCCUUCGGGUUGUAAAGUACUUUCAGCGGGGAGGAAGGGAGUAAAGUUAAUACCUUUGCUCAUUGACGUUACCCGCAGAAGAAGCACCGGCUAACUCCGUGCCAGCAGCCGCCGUAA